This 253-nucleotide ribosomal RNA is filed under the name uncultured bacterium. Its description in RNAcentral is "partial 16S ribosomal RNA". It matches the Rfam family "Bacterial small subunit ribosomal RNA", at positions 524 to 776 of the family's 1533-position model. The record is from RNAcentral.
UACGUAGGUGGCAAGCGUUGUCCGGAAUUACUGGGCGUAAAGGGUGUGUAGGCGGAUAUUUAAGUAGAAAGUGAAAGGUUGGAGCUCAACUCCAACAUUGCUUCCUAUACUGGAUGUCUUGAGUUUCGGAGAGGAAGAUGGAACGACACGUGUAGCGGUGAAAUGCGUUGAUAUGUGUCGGAACACCAAUAGCGAAGGCAAUCUUCUGGACAGUGACUGACGCUGAGCCGCGAAAGCGUGGGGAGCAAACAGG